GCGGGAUUCCCCAAGCCUGGUAUGGGGCAGGCCUGCUAAGUCUGUGGGCGAAAGUCCACGUGGGUUCAAAUCCCACAUCCCGCGCCA
RNAcentral lists this transfer RNA (87 nucleotides) under Candidatus Bathycorpusculum grumuli. RNAcentral's name for it is "tRNA-Ser". It matches the Rfam family "tRNA". Rfam says of the family: Transfer RNA (tRNA) molecules are approximately 80 nucleotides in length. Lineage: Archaea; Thermoproteati; Candidatus Bathyarchaeota; Bathyarchaeia (SeqCode); Bathyarchaeales (SeqCode); Candidatus Bathycorpusculaceae. The record is from RNAcentral.